UCUUCUCUUUCGAUCCCCUGUGGGAGACGGAGACGGCCGGACCAGCCGGGGGAAGCGCUGAAGCUUUCGAAGAGAUUCUCCCGACGCAUUCCGGUUGUAGCAUACCUUCAUCUUCCGGAGGCUGAUUUUUAUUCUCUUUUGCCUUCUUCUUUUAUCUGGAAAGAGAUUACCAAGCUCUACUUCAGAAGGAAGCAAAGCUGAACAGAAGACCAAGAUGAAGCAGGUAGAAGAUGAGAUAUCUCGACUUGGUGAAGGCCAUUGCUGGCAUUAACAUAACUGGUCAUAGUGACUUGGCAAAGCCCAGAAAAAGGAGAGCUCAGGAGGAAGAAGCUGCAGAAGAACUGGAAUGCAGUAAGCUUUUCUGUUUCGUGGAUGCCAUAUAGCUUGGGGUUCGGUUGACCAACACGUGUGGGCACCUCCACUACAUCUUUGACUGCCCUCCUCCCGGACUCAACGGCGAGACUCCCGGCACGUGCGGGCCUUUCCGCACGCGCCCCGCCGCGAUCAUCGGGGAACACAGAUGAUAUCAUCUAAAAUAGUCCGAAAUCUAAAGCAUCAACAUAAUUAUAACUGAAAACAUAUUUAAAUAAGGACAAAGAAAAACCCAAUAUAUAUAUAUAUAUAUAUAUAUAUAUAUAUAUAUAUAUAUAUAUAUAUAUAUAUAUAUAUAUAUAUAUAUAGGGGGCAGUGAUUUGACAAUAAGUUGUGAGAGAAUCCAUUCUAGUUACCAACCAAGAUACUAUAGAGCCCCACAGUCUUCAAACAUCUCGGAAAGAGAUUUGUCGGCUAUCUAUCUAUGCAUGUAUUUUUUCGGAUGAAACUUAUGUUUGAUCCAUAACCUUACUAUGGACUAUCAACGUCUCAGUUGAUACGAUUUAGAACUUUAUCAUAA
Molecule: long non-coding RNA, 892 nt
Organism: Musa acuminata AAA Group (dessert banana)
Lineage: Eukaryota; Viridiplantae; Streptophyta; Magnoliopsida; Zingiberales; Musaceae
Exons: 2
Source: RefSeq, a predicted model, not a curated record